AGCCAAUGUGAGGACAGGAAUUCAAAAGAUCUUUGGAUCUCUCUCAACAUUGGAAGAAGGUCUCUUCCUCUUUUUGAGAGAAAUCUUUGAUCGCCCUCCUUAGGAU
Molecule: small nucleolar RNA, 106 nt
Organism: Magnolia sinica
Lineage: Eukaryota; Viridiplantae; Streptophyta; Magnoliopsida; Magnoliales; Magnoliaceae
Source: RefSeq, a predicted model, not a curated record